RNAcentral lists this ribosomal RNA (450 nucleotides) under uncultured bacterium. Its description in RNAcentral is "partial 16S ribosomal RNA". It matches the Rfam family "Bacterial small subunit ribosomal RNA", at positions 354 to 796 of the family's 1533-position model. The record is from RNAcentral.
GUGGGGAAUCUUCCGCAAUGGACGAAAGUCUGACGGAGCGACGCCGCGUGAGUGAAGAAGGCCUUCGGGUCGUAAAGCUCUGUCAUCAGGGACGAACGGCCGGUGGAGUGGAAAGCCACCGGAUUGACGGUACCUGAGAAGGAAGCCACGGCUAACUACGUGCCAGCAGCCGCGGUAAUACGUAGGUGGCGAGCGUUGUCCGGAAUUAUUGGGCGUAAAGCGCGCGCAGGUGGGAUCUUAAGUCUGUUCUGAAAGUUCGGAGCUUAACUCCGUGAUGGGAUGGAAACUGGGAUUCUUGAGUAUCGGAGAGGAAAGCGGAAUUCCCCGUGUAGCGGUGAAAUGCGUAGAUAUGGGGAGGAACACCAGUGGCGAAGGCGGCUUUCUGGACGAUGUCUGACACUGAGGCGCGAAAGCCAGGGGAGCGAACGGGAUUAGAAACCCGAGUAGUCC